ACCCUGGUAGUCCACGCCCUAAACGAUGUCUACUAGUUGUCGGGUCUUAAUUGACUUGGUAAGGCAGCUAACGCGUGAAGUAGACCGCCUGGGGAGUACGGUCGCAAGAUUAAAACUCAAAGGAAUUGACGGGGACCCGCACAACAGGUGGAUGAUGUGGAUUUUUUCGAUGCAACGCGAAAAACCUUACCUACCCUUGACAUGUACAGAAUCCCGAAGAGAUUUGGGAGUGUUCGAAAGAAAACUGUAACACAGGUGCUGCAUGGCUGUCGUCAGCCCGUGUCGUGAGAUGUUGGGUUAAGUCCCCCAACGAGCGCCACCCUUGUCAUUAGUUGCUAGGAAAGGCCCCUCUAAUGAGAUUGCCGGUGACAACCCGGAGGAAGGUGGGGAUGACGUCAAGUCCUCAUGGCCCUUAUGGGUAGGUCUUCACCCGUCAUACAAUGGUACAUACAGAGGGCCUCCAACCCGCGAGGGGGAGCUAAUCCCAGAAAGUGUAUUGUAGUCCGGAUUGUAGUCUGCAACUCGCCUACAUGAAGUUGGAAUCGCUAGUAAUUGCGGAUCAGCAUGUCGCGGUGAAUACGUUCCCGGGUCUUGGACACACCGCCCGUCACACCAUGGGAGCGGGUUUUACCAGAAGUAGGUACCCUAAC
RNAcentral lists this ribosomal RNA (650 nucleotides) under Collimonas sp. AD89. RNAcentral describes it as "bacterial SSU rRNA". It matches the Rfam family "Bacterial small subunit ribosomal RNA", at positions 784 to 1439 of the family's 1533-position model. Lineage: Bacteria; Pseudomonadati; Pseudomonadota; Betaproteobacteria; Burkholderiales; Oxalobacteraceae. The record is from RNAcentral.